Molecule: ribosomal RNA, 426 nt
Filed under: uncultured Chlamydiae bacterium
Lineage: Bacteria; Pseudomonadati; Chlamydiota; Chlamydiia
Description: bacterial SSU rRNA
Rfam family: Bacterial small subunit ribosomal RNA
Source: RNAcentral
AACGCGAAGAACCUUACCCAGGCUCGAAAUGUAGGUGGCGAUACCAGAGAUGGUAUUUUCCGUAAGGACGCCUAUAUAGGUGCUGCAUGGCUGUCGUCAGCUCGUGCCGUGAGGUGUUUGGUUAAGUCCAGCAACGAGCGCAACCCUUAUCAUUAGUUGCCAACACGCAAGGUGGGGACUCUAAUGAGACUGCCUAGGUUAACUAGGAGGAAGGUGAGGAUGACGUCAAGUCCGCAUGGCCUUUAUGUCUGGGGCUACACACGUGCUACAAUGGUCGGUACAGAAGGCAGCAAGACCGUAAGGUGGAGCAAAUCCGUAAAACCGAUCUCAGUUCAGAUUGUAGUCUGCAACUCGACUACAUGAAGCUGGAAUUGCUAGUAAUGACGUGUCAGCAACAACGUCGUGAAUACGUUCCCGGGCCUUGUA